This 641-nucleotide ribosomal RNA is filed under the name uncultured Sulfitobacter sp. RNAcentral describes it as "bacterial SSU rRNA". It matches the Rfam family "Bacterial small subunit ribosomal RNA", at positions 164 to 840 of the family's 1533-position model. Lineage: Bacteria; Pseudomonadati; Pseudomonadota; Alphaproteobacteria; Rhodobacterales; Roseobacteraceae. The record is from RNAcentral.
UAAUACCGUAUAAGCCCUUCGGGGGAAAGAUUUAUCGGGAAAGGAUUGGCCCGCGUUAGAUUAGAUAGUUGGUGGGGUAAUGGCCUACCAAGUCUACGAUCUAUAGCUGGUUUUAGAGGAUGAUCAGCAACACUGGGACUGAGACACGGCCCAGACUCCUACGGGAGGCAGCAGUGGGGAAUCUUAGACAAUGGGCGCAAGCCUGAUCUAGCCAUGCCGCGUGUGUGAUGAAGGUCUUAGGAUCGUAAAGCACUUUCGCCAGGGAUGAUAAUGACAGUACCUGGUAAAGAAACCCCGGCUAACUCCGUGCCAGCAGCCGCGGUAAUACGGAGGGGGUUAGCGUUGUUCGGAAUUACUGGGCGUAAAGCGUACGUAGGCGGAUCAGAAAGUAGGGGGUGAAAUCCCAGGGCUCAACCCUGGAACUGCCUCCUAAACUCCUGGUCUUGAGUUCGAGAGAGGUGAGUGGAAUUCCAAGUGUAGAGGUGAAAUUCGUAGAUAUUUGGAGGAACACCAGUGGCGAAGGCGGCUCACUGGCUCGAUACUGACGCUGAGGUACGAAAGUGUGGGGAGCAAACAGGAUUAGAUACCCUGGUAGUCCACACCGUAAACGAUGAAUGCCAGUCGUCGGGCAGUAUACUGUU